AAGAUACUCCCUUCGUCCGAAAAUACUUGUCAUUGAAAUGGAUGUAGACGUACAUCCAUUUCAAUGACAAGUAUUUUCGGACGAAGGGAGUAUACG
Triticum aestivum (bread wheat) is the source of this 96-nucleotide non-coding RNA. The record is from Rfam. Lineage: Eukaryota; Viridiplantae; Streptophyta; Magnoliopsida; Poales; Poaceae.